Phragmites australis (common reed) is the source of this 2994-nucleotide long non-coding RNA. RefSeq lists it as uncharacterized. NCBI's taxonomy places the organism in Eukaryota, Viridiplantae, Streptophyta, Magnoliopsida, Poales, Poaceae. The transcript is spliced from 3 exons. The record is from RefSeq and is a predicted model, not a curated record.
UACGCUUUAGAGGCUGUCUCUGUGUACUACAGAAGGCAGAUAUGAAAAUGGAUAUAUUGAGAGUAGCUCAUCGGACUCUUUAUACUAUUUAUCCAGGUGAAACCAAAAUGUAUCGAGAUCUAAAGCAAAAUUUUUGGUGGAAAAGGAUGAAAGUGGAUAUUACUAAGUAUGUUGCAGCUUGUGGUGUCUGCCAACAAGUAAAGGCUGAACAUAAAAGACCUGCAGGAUUAAUGCAAUCCUUAGAAAUCCCAGAAUAGAAAUGGGAACAUAUCGCUAUGGACUUCGUUGUUGGGGUUGCCUCGUUCCCCUCGAGGCAGAGAUACUAUUUAGGUUGUCGUGCAUAAGCUUACAAAAUUCGCACAUUUCAUCCCAAUAAAGACAACCAGUUCAGCACAUGAUUUAGCUCCCUUGUAUAUUCGGGAAAUAGUGAGGUUGCAUGGUGUGCCAAAAUCGAUCAUUUCAGAUCGAGAUUCCAAAUUUGUAUCCCAGUUUUAGCAGAGUUUGCUUAUAAUAAUAGCUAUCAAGCUAGUAUUCGGAUGGCUCCCUUUGAGGCUUUGUAUGGUCGAAUGUGUGUUUUCCCUUUGUGUUGGGAUUCUGUUGGAGAGAGAUCACUACUUGAUCCAGAUUUGGUUCAGCAAACAUCAGAAAAGGUAUACCAAAUACGUCAGAACAUGUUGGCUGUUCAAAGUCGACAGAAGAGCUAUGCAGAUAUCCGGAGACGAGAUCUAGAAUUUUCAGUUGGUGACUAUGUUCUUCUCAGAGUGUCGCCAACCAAAAGGUGUUGUACGUUUUGGUAUCUCUGGAAAGCUUAACCCGAGAUACAUUGGUCCAUUUCUAAUCACAGCCCGAGUAGGCAGUUUGGCGUAUCGUCUUGAAUUACCAGACUCAAUGAGUGGAGUACAUAAUGUCUCCAAUGUUUCUAUGCUAAGAAAAUAGCUGAGAGACCCUGAGCAUAAAAUUGAUGCGGAAUCAAUCAUGAUAGAGAAAGACCUGACCGUAAAGUGCCACCCAGUACGUAUUCUGGAUUUCUCAGAGCGAGUCAUGAGAAGAAGAACUAUCAAGUUUGUGAGAGUCCUUUGGACAAAUCAAACAGAACGAGAAGCAACUUGGGAACUUGAAGAACGAAUGCACAAGGAGUGUCCGGAGCUCUUUGAGGCUAAUGAGUCAUAAGUUUUGAAAUAUUUUACUUCUGUUCCAUAGUUGCCAUGGAAGCGGCAGAAUUCGGGGACGAAUUCUUUUAAGGAGGGAAGAAUGUAAUACUAAAUUUUUCGAGAAAAAAAAACAGAGAGAGAUUUGACAAAAAGUUGACUUUUUGAUCCGUUGCUCGUAUGGACGAUCGGAGACCGCGGUUGCGUUCAUCUCGUCGAGACGAACCCAUUUUGCUAUUCAUAUGUCCGUUCCGAGCACUUUGUGACCCGUAGCAAGCCUAAUAAAUUUAGACCGUUGGUUGUUUUAUAAAAAAAUAAAAAAAAAUUGGAUAAAUACCGGAUGGAUCGGCCCUCAACCCGAUCCAUCCAGCCUCGUGUUUAUCCACUCGCUCAUUUCUUUCUUUCUCUCUCUCUCCCAGCCAGCUUGUGCCGUGCUGUCGCCGAGCGCCGUCGUCCACCUGCCGUCGCCGGCCUGCUCGUCGCCGCCACCGCCGCGCCGCUGUUGCUCGCCGUCGCGCUGCCGCGCGCCUGCGUGCUGCGCUGCGUGCUGCCGCCGCCGCGUGCUGCUGUCUGCUUGCCGUGCGUGCGCGUCGCGUGCUGCUGCGUGUCGCUGCCGAGCCGUCGUGUCGUCGUGCCGCUGUGCUUUGUGCCGGCUGCCGCAUGCUGUGCACUAACCGAAGCAAGCCAGGAAGAGAGAAGCUAGAUGAAGCAAGGAAGAAAGAAAGAAGAAGCAAGAAAGAAGAAGCCAGGAAGGAAGAAAGGAAAAGAAGGAAAGAAAAGAAAAGAAAGAGAAAAGAAAAAAGGAGAAAAAGGGAAAAAGGGGAAAAGAGGAGAAAGUUGGAAAUUUCGUAAUUUUGUUGGAUUCCUCGUCGAUUCCAUCGAAGGUGAUUCCUCGGUGGUACUAUUUCCGGACGUUCUUGAUCGAAUUUUCUUCAUCGUCGGUAAAGGCAAGUGAAUGUAUUGUAUGACUAUGCUUUAACCUAAUAUUGGGUUGCCUACAUUCUUUAAUUACAGUGCAUUCAUCUAAUCUGAAUGACUGAUUCUGGGCUGAGCACUAUGUUGUUUACGUUUCCAGAAGUUUACUCGAUGAUUGAUUUAUGAAGUGCAGUAUGUUUAGAUGUUGACGUGCAUUUUGGGGAUGGAUCUUGGUAGCUGCACACACUACCUCAUCACCUUGUUGGUAGCUCAACCGGUGUUAUAAAUGGUGUUUUUGGUGGUCUGUCGUUUGCUUGGUUCAUGUUGUGGUGAGACGCUGGUAGCGUCGUGAAGGUUAUAUAUAUGCUGGUUAUAUCUGUUUCUGCCUGUCUGUGAUAUUUCUUUUGGUCAGUUAUACCUCUUUAUAGAGGAAAUGCUGCCAAAAUGUCCUAUUUUUCAUAUAAAUAGGCUUAGUUGUAAAGUAGGGUGUUACAGCUUGGUAUCAGAGCCUAGGCUUUAGAUCCUAGGUAAUUGAAUUAUAAACCUGACACACUUGCACAAAUAGGAUGGGUAUGGGAUGCAUUGCAUUGCAUACGUCUUGUUUAUCUUUGUUCGCUUAUGUUCACUAUCUCAUAUAAGUACUAUUGAAGUUGUUUGUUUGAUUGUCCACAUAUUCUUUAGUGUUUUAUCGUUGAUAUAUAUUGUUAAAUUGUUGAAGUUAGUUCCGUUGGAAUGGUGAAAUUGUCAGGGCGUUAAAUUUGUUACCUUGGCCAUUAGAACCUGAGAAGCUUCAGAGGAUCAAUAGUAUAAUUGUUGUAUGUCACUGCAGAUGGGUUAAGUGGAGGGCCCCCAUGAUGCCUUUUCUGCAUUGCCAGGUGAGGUUGACCAAGAGUUAGGUUUGCGAUCCAAUUAUCCACAUACAGAGCGAAUA